CACGGUGACUUGCAAGCAACUCACUGCACUUAGGCACUGGACUACCUGAAUUUCUAAUUCAAUGAUGGAAGGCUGCUGGGUGUAGUCAAGUACUUGACUUAUCGGUACGUGUGUCAAGAUGGGAUUGACCACUCCAGUUCAGGAGCUGUGUACAGUCGUGUUUCAAUUUAGCAAAAUCUUGGCUAGGGUAGUCCUAGUGAGGAGUCACAGGACUGAUUGAGUUGAGCAUGACUCGGAUGAUCUA
Molecule: long non-coding RNA, 244 nt
Filed under: Elaeis guineensis (African oil palm)
Lineage: Eukaryota; Viridiplantae; Streptophyta; Magnoliopsida; Arecales; Arecaceae
Description: long non-coding RNA (EGUI_LNC070399)
Source: RNAcentral